GAUGAACGCUAGCGGCAGGCUUAACACAUGCAAGUCGAGGGGUAUAUGCUUUCGGGUAUAGAGACCGGCGCACGGGUGCGUAACGCGUAUGCAACCUACCUUUCACAGAGGGAUAGCCCAGAGAAAUUUGGAUUAAUACCUCAUAGUAUAAUGAUGUGGCAUCACAAUAUUAUUAAAGUUCCAACGGGGAAAGAUGGGCAUGCGUCCCAUUAGCUAGAUGGUAAGGUAACGGCUUACCAUGGCAACGAUGGGUAGGGGUCCUGAGAGGGAGAUCCCCCACACUGGUACUGAGACACGGACCAGACUCCUACGGGAGGCAGCAGUGAGGAAUAUUGGUCAAUGGGCGCAAGCCUGAACCAGCCAUGCCGCGUGCAGGAUGAAGCAUCUAUGGUGUGUAAACUGCUUUUGUACGGGAAGAAACACCGGUUCGUGAACCGGCUUGACGGUACCGUAAGAAUAAGGAUCGGCUAACUCCGUGCCAGCCGCCGCGGUAAG
RNAcentral lists this ribosomal RNA (495 nucleotides) under uncultured bacterium. RNAcentral describes it as "bacterial SSU rRNA". It matches the Rfam family "Bacterial small subunit ribosomal RNA", at positions 28 to 524 of the family's 1533-position model. The record is from RNAcentral.